CGAUGGGGCGGGGCGACACUUCGAGGCCCAUAUUUGUUUUCCCCGCCUUUGACAUUUUCCUCCGAGCCAGCAGGGGGCAGUUUGCGUUGAAACAAACAGAACGGUGGCAACUACAGCAGCAGAGUAAUAACGCUAUUCCGUUGAUUGCUUGAGAGCUCAACCACUGAGGGGAGGAACUUCACCAUUCACCAUGUCUUCAGGCAGAGUCCAGCAAAGCAGCUUCCACUGGAAAUCCUCAGGGAAAUUAUUUUGUUGGCGGGUGACUCUGCAUAUUUGACCCUUUCUCUGGUUUGCAGAUGGUUUAGGGAUGUGCUCCGAAGUUUUUCGGAAAGCGGCAAAGUUUGCCUGGCUAGAGAUUGUGGCCAACUGGAAGAAUUGUCCUCCUGUCUCCUGACCGGAACGAGUUCAGACGGAUGUACAGCAUCAAGGAAUGCUUGCAGUGCAGAGCCCUUUUCAAGUUUAACCCACCAGGGUACAGGGAAGAGACCGGCGUGAUCUUCUGGGCUUUUGUUUACACAGGAUUUUGUUCCAAGGACUGUUUUUUUUUUUUUUUUUGCGGCAUGAAACUGAAACUUCAUUGAAGGGAAAUAGAGAAUGGACUGAGAUCAACUGGUUUUGAUGUAUUAAUUGAUGUCAUUUAAAGUUAAACUUUGCAGUGUAUAAUGUUUUAAUAAAAAAGCUAUGGAAAACACGUGCAUGACAACAGGUUUCAGUCAUUUACAUCAGUCUAUCAUUCUUUAAGGUUUCUCAUAUUUGAUGAUAACAUCAUUUGCUA
Long non-coding RNA from Carassius gibelio (silver crucian carp), 775 nucleotides. RefSeq lists it as uncharacterized. Lineage: Eukaryota; Metazoa; Chordata; Actinopteri; Cypriniformes; Cyprinidae. The transcript has 4 exons. The record is from RefSeq and is a predicted model, not a curated record.